GUAUUGAUUCGCGCGUGAUCGCGCAAAGAACAUUCUACACUAGGGUGUUUGAUGUUUAAAAACGUGAGCACCCCCCUCCGAGGAAGGGGGGACGCACGCGGUGAUGCACAAAGGGGUGAGAUGGAUGUGUGAGAGUGCUCGGGCGUGCACGACCUUUAAAAAGGUCAGCGACAGCCCGGGCACCUCCGUUGUAUGAUAAUGAUCCUUCCGCAGGUUCACCUACGGAAA
Molecule: unclassified non-coding RNA, 228 nt
Filed under: uncultured fungus
Lineage: Eukaryota; Fungi
Description: sequence contains ITS1
Source: RNAcentral